Molecule: ribosomal RNA, 596 nt
Filed under: uncultured bacterium
Lineage: Bacteria
Description: bacterial SSU rRNA
Rfam family: Bacterial small subunit ribosomal RNA
Source: RNAcentral
AAUACUUAGGAAUCUGCCUAUUAGUGGGGGACAACAUUUCGAAAGGAAUGCUAAUACCGCAUACGUCCUACGGGAGAAAGCAGGGGACCUUCGGGCCUUGCGCUAUCAGAUGAGCCUAGGUCGGAUUAGCUAGUUGGUGAGGUAAUGGCUCACCAAGGCGACGAUCCGUAACUGGUCUGAGAGGAUGAUCAGUCACACUGGAACUGAGACACGGUCCAGACUCCUACGGGAGGCAGCAGUGGGGAAUAUUGGACAAUGGGCGAAAGCCUGAUCCAGCCAUGCCGCGUGUGUGAAGAAGGCCUUCGGGUUGUAAAGCACUUUCAGUAGGGAGGAAGGGUGUUGUGUUAAUAGCACAGCAUUUUGACGUUACCUACAGAAGAAGCACCGGCUAACUCUGUGCCAGCAGCCGCGGUAAUACAGAGGGUGCAAGCGUUAAUCGGAAUUACUGGGCGUAAAGCGCACGUAGGCGGUUUUUUAAGUCAGAUGUGAAAGCCCCGGGCUCAACCUGGGAAUUGCAUUUGAAACUGGAAAACUAGAGUGUGUGAGAGGGGGGUAGAAUUCCAAGUGUAGCGGUGAAAUGCGUAGAUAUAGGAAGG